GACGAACGCUGGCGGCGUGCCUAAUACAUGCAAGUAGAACACUGAAGGAGGAGCUUGCUCUUCUGGAUGAGUUGCGAACGGGUGAGUAACGCGUAGGUAACCUGCCUGGUAGCGGGGGAUAACUAUUGGAAACGAUAGCUAAUACCGCAUAAUAGUAGAUGUUGCAUGAUAUUUACUUAAAAGGUGCAAUUGCACCACUACCAGAUGGACCUGCGUUGUAUUAGCUAGUUGGUGGGGUAACGGCUCACCAAGGCGACGAUACAUAGCCGACCUGAGAGGGUGAUCGGCCACACUGGGACUGAGACACGGCCCAGACUCCUACGGGAGGCAGCAGUAGGGAAUCUUCGGCAAUGGACGAAAGUCUGACCGAGCAACGCCGCGUGAGUGAAGAAGGUUUUCGGAUCGUAAAGCUCUGUUGUAAGAGAAGAACGAGUGUGAGAGUGGAAAGUUCACACUGUGACGGUAUCUUACCAGAAAGGGACGGCUAACUACGUG
This 495-nucleotide ribosomal RNA is filed under the name uncultured bacterium. RNAcentral describes it as "partial 16S ribosomal RNA". It matches the Rfam family "Bacterial small subunit ribosomal RNA", at positions 28 to 507 of the family's 1533-position model. The record is from RNAcentral.